Schistosoma margrebowiei is the source of this 46-nucleotide non-coding RNA. Lineage: Eukaryota; Metazoa; Platyhelminthes; Trematoda; Strigeidida; Schistosomatidae. The record is from Rfam.
AUCCAACUGACGAGUCUCAAAAUCGAGCGAAAUGCGCGUCCUGGAU